GAUAGAACUGCAUAUGCUAAUGAAGAGGAACGUCCAGUCCAGAUGUCUGAUCGGCUCCAAAACUUGGCUUACAGUGCUCUUACAGAGAAAGAGUUUAAGCAAGAUACGUCGAAUUUUUGGGAGGAACCACGGAAGGCAUCUUUAUGGAAACAUUGUGGAGAUAGAAAAGAGCAGAAAAAUAAGGGCAACUGACAAAAACAAUUGGUACAUAAUGGUCAGUGCAUAUGGUGGUCUCAAUCAACAAAGAGUAGCUGUA
This is a long non-coding RNA of Populus euphratica (Euphrates poplar), 256 nucleotides long. RefSeq lists it as uncharacterized. The transcript is spliced from 3 exons. Lineage: Eukaryota; Viridiplantae; Streptophyta; Magnoliopsida; Malpighiales; Salicaceae. The record is from RefSeq and is a predicted model, not a curated record.